UUACGGCCAUAUCACGUUGAAACACCGGUUCCUGUACAAUCACCGCAGUUAAGCAACGUCGAGCCUGGUCAGUAGAUGGGUGACCGCUUUGGAAUACCAGAUGUUGUAAG
This is a non-coding RNA of Acanthosepion pharaonis, 110 nucleotides long. Lineage: Eukaryota; Metazoa; Mollusca; Cephalopoda; Sepiida; Sepiidae. The record is from the annotation of a GenBank genome assembly.